Molecule: ribosomal RNA, 167 nt
Filed under: uncultured Actinomycetes bacterium
Lineage: Bacteria; Bacillati; Actinomycetota; Actinomycetes
Description: uncultured actinobacterium partial 16S ribosomal RNA
Source: RNAcentral
UCCGACUUCAUGAGGUCGAGUUGCAGACCCCAAUCCGAACUGAGACCGGCUUUCCGAGAUUCGCUCACCCUCACAGGCUCGCCACUCUCUGUACCAGCCAUUGUAGCAUGCGUGAAGCCCUGGACAUAAGGGGCAUGAUGACUUGACGUCAUCCCCACCUUCCUCCG